UGGAUUAAAUGUUUUUCACUUUUGAUAAAAGUCUCAUCAACAACGAGAAUUUGCGCGUGAAUCAAAACGACGCCAUUUUACAGGACGCCAUAUUGGCGACAAGAAUCUCAGUUCCAUAGGUAUUGUAAUUGACAUAUAUUUUACAAUAGAUUUCUUUUAUUUUUCAUAUACAUACGUGUUACCUAUAGGGAGAGCUUCGCUCUCACGGGCCCUUCGGGCCCGUGAGAGGGCUCCGCCCUCUAUUAUGCAAUAUAUUUUAUCAUGUUUAAAUUCUGCAACUACAAUGUUUUGUAAAACCGCGCAUUUCCAGCAUGCGAUAGGCAUAGGCCAGUUCAGCUAACAUGUUAAAGUUACGCAUUUAAUUUUGUAUGAUUGCUUAUGAUUUUGAUAUUUUGUCAAAUUCUUAUUAUGCUUUUGUAAUUUGUAGUUUUUCACCCUCUCACAAGGUGUGUCCAAUAAACAGUACAGUCACUGAUCUUUGUCAACUUUUUAAGAAAAUAACAGAAUAUGAAGAAGGAAGACUAUAUAUAGGAUCGAUCUACUUCAUAACUGGAAAAAGAGAAGCAGUUCACAAAUGUUGAUGAGCAGAAGACAAGAAACUCUGGCUGCACAAAAAUCUGAGCUCUUGAAAAAGAAAGAAAGAAAAGGAUCCAAAUGAUGAAAUUCGGGAAAUUCCACAUGGAGAGACAAUAAGGAUUUUUGAAUUGACCAUCUCUGCUCAAACUGCUUGAAAGUACUGAAAACUGUUACCCUUGUGCUGAACAAACUUUUCUCCUAGACUGGAAUUAAAAACUGUUCAAUUUCUGGCAUUAAAACACAAUUUGAAACAUGCUGAGGAAGAAUCCCCCUCUCCUUUUGACCAAGUAAGGUUAAACAUUCUGCAAAGAGUUGCAUUUGAAUUGAAAUUUUUUUUAUACUUUUACCAGGAAUGAACUACAUUACUCAUUUACUAUGGUUUAAUGUGUCAGAAUUGUCUAUUUUAAGUUUUUUAACAAAGAUUUUGUUGCCAUGGUUGGAAAACAAACAACAUUUCUGUGAAAUCUUUCAAGAUGCUGUAUUAUAAAUCAUCUACUGUUACUUUUUUAGCAUGACUUCAUGCAUUUUCAUGAAUAAACAUGAAUAAUAAUA
Molecule: long non-coding RNA, 1128 nt
Organism: Saccostrea cuccullata (small rock oyster)
Lineage: Eukaryota; Metazoa; Mollusca; Bivalvia; Ostreida; Ostreidae
Exons: 2
Source: RefSeq, a predicted model, not a curated record